This 196-nucleotide microRNA precursor is filed under the name Oryza nivara. Its description in RNAcentral is "MIR812 microRNA precursor family". It matches the Rfam family "MIR812 microRNA precursor family". The record is from Rfam by way of RNAcentral. Lineage: Eukaryota; Viridiplantae; Streptophyta; Magnoliopsida; Poales; Poaceae.
AAAAAAACAAACUCUGGGUUUCCAUACCCAACGUUGACUAUCUGUCUUAUAUAAAAAUUUUUAUAAUUAAUAUUUUCAUUGUUGUUAGAUGAUAAAACAUGAUUAAUAUUUUAUACGUGACUUGUCUUUUUAAUUUUUUUAACAAUUUUUUUAAAUAAGACGGACGGUUAAACGUUGAACACGGAGUCCUAAGGUU